UACGUAGGUGGCAAGCGUUGUCCGGAUUUACUGGGCGUAAAGAGCGCGUAGGCGGCCUGCUAAGUCGGACGUGAAAUCCCCCGGCUCAACCGGGGAACUGCGUCCGAUACUGGUGGGCUCGAAUCCGGGAGAGGGAUGUGGAAUUCCAGGUGUAGCGGUGAAAUGCGUAGAUAUCUGGAGGAACACCGGUGGCGAAGGCGGCAUCCUGGACCGGCAUUGACGCUGAGGCGCGAAAGCCAGGGGAGCAAGCGGG
Molecule: ribosomal RNA, 253 nt
Filed under: uncultured bacterium
Lineage: Bacteria
Description: partial 16S ribosomal RNA
Rfam family: Bacterial small subunit ribosomal RNA
Source: RNAcentral